GAUGAAGAACGUAGCGAAAUGCGAUAAGUAGUGUGAAUUGCAGAAUUCCGUGAAUCAUCGAAUCUUUGAACGCACAUUGCGCCUUCUGGUAUUCCGGAAGGCAUGCCUGUUCGAGAGUCAUUAACAACCGUUUCGAUCCCUUUCUUUCAGAAAUUACAAAGAGGAAAAGGGUUUGGUUAUGGUGGAGGAGGGAAAGGGAGCGUUUAGCCUGUAAAAAAAGAGGCUGUGUUCCGCCUCCCCCCCAAAAUUGUACAGGCGGUCGUGUGCGCCCACGCAUCGAGGUGUUGUAAAAGCUGCCACGGCACUUUUCACCUGUGCAGUGCCAGAUUGGCCAGCCGGUUUAAAAACCCCUCCAAACAAUCAAAGGUUGACCUCGGAUCAGGUAGGGAUACCCGCUGAACUUAAGCAUAUCAAUAAGCGGAGGA
RNAcentral lists this unclassified non-coding RNA (425 nucleotides) under soil metagenome. Its description in RNAcentral is "partial contains 5.8S ribosomal RNA, internal transcribed spacer 2, and large subunit ribosomal RNA". The stretch from base 1 to 120 matches the Rfam family "5.8S ribosomal RNA", at positions 35 to 154 of the family's 154-position model. The record is from RNAcentral.